RNAcentral lists this transfer RNA (70 nucleotides) under Muraenesox bagio (common pike conger). RNAcentral's name for it is "tRNA-Trp". It matches the Rfam family "tRNA". From Rfam's summary of the family: Transfer RNA (tRNA) molecules are approximately 80 nucleotides in length. The record is from RNAcentral. Lineage: Eukaryota; Metazoa; Chordata; Actinopteri; Anguilliformes; Muraenesocidae.
AGAGACUUAGGAUAAUAUAGACCAAAAGCCUUCAAAGCUUUAAGUAGAAGUUAAAAUCUUCUAGUCCCUG